RNAcentral lists this ribosomal RNA (553 nucleotides) under uncultured bacterium. Its description in RNAcentral is "bacterial SSU rRNA". It matches the Rfam family "Bacterial small subunit ribosomal RNA", at positions 772 to 1319 of the family's 1533-position model. The record is from RNAcentral.
ACGGAAUAGAUACCCCGGUAGUCCACGCCCUAAACGAUGUCUACUAGUUGUUGGUGGAGUAAAAUCCAUGAGUAAACGCAGCUAAACGCGUGAAGUAGACCGCCUGGGGAGUACGGUCGCAAGAUUAAAACUCAAAUGAAUUGACGGGGGCCCGCACAAGCGGUGGAUUAUGUGGAUUAAAUUCGAUGCAACGCGAAAAACCUUACCUGGCCUUGACAUGUAACGAACUUUCCAGAGAUGGAUUGGUGCUCGAAAGAGAACGUUAACACAGGUGCUGCAUGGCUGUCGUCAGCUCGUGUCGUGAGAUGUUGGGUUAAGUCCCGCAACGAGCGCAACCCUUGCCAUUAAUUGCCAUCAUUUAGUUGGGCACUUUAAUGGGACUGCCGGUGACAAACCGGAGGAAGGUGGGGAUGACGUCAAGUCCUCAUGGCCCUUAUGGCCAGGGCUUCACACGUAAUACAAUGGUCGGUACAGAGGGUUUGCCAACCCGCGAGGGGUAGCCAAUCCCGAGAAAGCCGAUCGUAGUCCGGAUUGUAGUCUGCAACUCGACUAC